CCCCGGCCGCCGCGCCUUUCCUUCCCUCCCCAGACACCCACCCGAGAAGCGGCCCCUGCGCGCUCCCGACGAGGCCCGGCCCCGGGGCGGCGGGAAGAGGGUGGUCGCCAGGCGCUGCGCACCAAAGCCCCCUGGCCAGCGGCGCCUCGGGACCGCAGGUCAAGGCCUCAAGCCGGCCUCUGCUCCCGCGGCGAGGCCCUCCCGCGCCCGGCGAUGCGGUCAGCGCCUUCCGAACGGGGCACAGUCAAAGCCUGCAGAGACGGCGGCGCCCGAUGCUUGAGGCCUUGGAUAGGCUGGGUAUGGACCAGAGGCCUGGGCGCAGGGGCCCCCGUAGGGACAGACGGGAGCACUGCCCGCAGUAGAACGGCCCCGGGCCGGCUCUGAGAGAUCCUGGAGGUAAAGGCAGGUGGCAGAGGCUGCAGGGGCAGCGGUGGGGACAGUCGGGGAUGCAUCCCCAGCCUGCAAGCCCUUGUCAAGGUGAGAAGGUGCGCGAGGGGCCUGGGAGAGGGAUUCUGCUUGAGAGGCCGUUGGUCCCAGAGGGAAAGAUCCAGAAGGUGGAGCCAGGCCCAGAGGCCCAAGGCUCCUAAAUCCAGAGUGGGGCAGGGGCCGCAGAGAAAGGGUGUGUGUGGGGCCUGGGGACCUGGAGGAAGAGGAGAGCAGAGGGGUCAGGCCUAGCUCCAGGCCCGAGGAGUGGGGAGGGGGGCAGGCCUAGGGAGGAGAGGGCAGGGGGGCAGCCAGCUCCCAGCAGAGCUGGGCUGGGCCUCUGGGGACCUUAGAGCCGGAGGCAGAACCAGGGUAGGGGGUGGGCUAUGUGCGGGCUCCCCGAGGAGGGCUCCUGCCUGUCAUAUGGGGGUCCAUCAGGGAGGAGGGGGCCUGGUCAAAGGCCCUGAGAGGCCCGAGGCUGUGGGCACUGCUGGGCUGGCAACAGACAGGGUGGGAGGGAGCCCCGGGGGUUUGGGGCCCCCUCCGUCAGCCCCGCUGGUGCAGGAUGGGGGCAGCCGUGGGCAGGGUGGCGGGGAAGUCGCACUCGUGUGGUCACGAACGCAAACACUUCUCUGGGGCAAGUCAACAGGCCAACCACUUCCGGGCAGCCCUGCAGGCCAUGGCCGGAUCUCCCAGGGCCCCGGCCCCUCCCACGGAACCCCUGUUGGCCGCCCUCUAGGGCGGCCAGCCGAGGUCCGUGCGGCCGCUCUGUCGGCCCUGCUCCUGGCUCUAGAGGCGUCGUCCAGCUGGACUGGGUUCACGGACGGGAACCUCAGACGCCAUCACCUCCCUGCCGCCUCCAGCCCGAGCUCCUUCAGGCCCCAGCUCUGUGACGGGCACCUCAGGACUGUCUGAAUGCGACUCUCUAUCCGCCCCUGGCCGUGUGCCACCUGUGUCUGCUGCCCACAGGACAGGACCGUCCCCAGCCUUGUCUCAGGCCCACCUCGUGCCUGCUGGCUGGACAGUGCGGAAAAUGGCGCUGGAACCCCCACCUGCGGGUCCCACCCACUCAGGAGGGUCUUUGAAGCUUACCUGGAGGAAAUGCAGAGGUCCCUCCACACGACGCGCUCAGACGUAGGAGACAGGCACCCCCCCGAGGCUCUCCCCCCUCCCUCCCCAGGUGCUGGGCUUUCCUUGGCGCCAAGACGGCCACUGGAACGUUGGUUCACAGGAGAGGUUCGCAGCGGGAGAUGCUCCAGCCAGGGUCAGCAGACAGGGACAGGUGUCCUGGUGACACCGUCCAGCCGGGGAUGGGCUCCCCCCCAGAAGCCACGCCCCCGGAGCUGAGAGUGGAAGUGAGGCCCAGGCCAAAGGAGAGCAAUGCGCCUCGUGGGAGGUGCUUUAUUUCAUUUAUUAACAACAUGGGGCGGGAAGGCCUGGCUGAAAGACCCUGUUAUCACAACCAGCCUCGGGCCCCUGGCUGGCUCUCUGCUCCCACUCCCAUCCCAGGAGCUGCUGGGCUGGUGAUGGGCCCAGCUUGCACCAUUCCUGCCCACGGGAGGGGGGGUGUGCCCUGGGCCCCUUGCGGGGGCCCAUCCCCAACUCCCUUGAGAGAAGGCGCCCUCUCAGCCCAACAGGGACUGGGACAGCGGGUGGUGCGCCGGUCUCCAGCCACGUCUGCUGAGGAGGAGAGGGCCUGGGGACUUUCAGGGGACCAAGCCCUUCCCAAAGGGUUCCUGCCACAGGUCUGCGAGCCCCCAAAACACCUGCCUACCUGCGGAUGGGCGGGGUGGGGGACGCCUGGGAUCUCCCCCCCCACUCCUGGGACCCUAGUCCUCGCUGGAGUUGUCGAACUCCUCCCAGUCAGACACACUCAUCACCUCGGACGCAAAGUCCGGGUCGGCCUGGCUGCGGUCAGGGGUCCCCCGGGGUGGCUCGAGCAGCAGGGACCGCGGCAGGGUGAGCACGCAGGCGGCCAGGCCUGAGAUGGAGUUGUCCAGCUGCGGCCCCUCCUCCCAGCUGUCCUUGCCCGCGUCAUAGAUGUGCACGUAGCCCGUGCGGCUGCCUCGGUUGUGUGAGCGGCCGCCCAGCACGUAGAUCCUGCUGUCGAGCACAGCGAUGCCCGGCUCCCCGUGCCCGGCUGGGAGCGGGCAGACGGAGGACCACUGCCCAGAUCUGCAGCUGUAGCAGGCCACCUGCAAGGCAAGGUGCGGGCUCUCAGGGAGCUGGGGGACCCCCAGAGGGCAGGCUCCGACCGGCUGCCGCCCUGCGCCACCUCCCCACCCCCUCAGUCGGCCUGUGGCCCCAGGCCUGUGGGUGUCUCCCCUUUGGCCUGGGGGUGCUGGCUCACUCCCCUCCACCGCUGAAGCUGAAACUCAGAAGCCAAGCGCACAGAGCACUGGGGAAGAUGCAGAUAAAAAGAAGAGACGGGCUUACUGAGUCGUGAUGACCAUCAACAUUCUCUUGGGAAGUACCUGGCGGUCCAGUGGUAAGGACUCGCACUUUCCCUGCUGGGACCCCCAGGUUCAAUCCCUGGUCAGGGAGCUAAGAUCCCACAAGACACGCGGUGUGGCCAAAAAAGAGAAAAAAAAAAUCAUCGUCUUCAAAGCUACCCUAAAUAGUAAACGUGGGAACCAGGGGAAAUGUCCAACCUACUAGUGAUCCAAGAAUUGCAAAACAACCUCAGGAACAAACCAUCAGCUGCUAACGAGCGGCCACUGGGGAAGAAAAGGCGCCGGCCGGGCGCCCACCUGGCCAGUCAGGGCGGCAACGUGCACAGCUGCGCCGAGCCACGCAGACGCCAGGGCUGCCCCUCCUGCUGCAAGGAGGCCUGGCCGCUGGGGGCCCAAGCCGGCCUCUGCGGGCAGGUAAGCGCAGGGACAUGGACACGGGCAGACGGGCGACCCUGGAUCUUCGUGGGACCCCUAAUUGCACAGCCCUUGGAAGCAGCAGGGGAUGUGUGAAGGCUCAAGAUGGGAGGGGAGCUGCCGGCUUGGAAGAGGAAGGGGCCCGAGCAGCCAGCCCAGAGGCUUCCAGAAGCCAAUAAGGGCUUCAGCUCACAGCGGCGAGGAGCAGGACCUGGCCCUACGGCAGGAGCUGAGCUCUGCUGACACCCCGGGAGACAGGACGCUGACCCUCCCUGGGCUCCGCUGAGGAAACACCCCUGGACUGUCGAGCCACAGGCUGUCAGCACACGCUCCUGCGGGUUUAUGUCCCCGCGUUUGUGGCGGUCUGUCCCAGCUGCAACAGGAAAUGAAACGCUGGAGCCUCGUGGCUCUCAGCGCUGGAGUGUCCCAUCCGGGAACAUCCAGCUAGGUGGGCUGAGGGCCAGGGAACCUGCAUUCCUGCUGAGUUCUCUCCUGAUGUGGGUACUGCUGGCCCGGGAGCCACAUUUCGAGGACCACGGCUCUCACCUCAGGAGAUGACCCAAGAUACCCGAAGAGCUCCACGGAGAAAGUGCUGCUUCGAAUGUUACCUGAAACGGCCACCACUUGGCCAACCCCAGCGUCAGCGGUCUGAUAGACUCUGCACAGCCACUGGGUGGGGUGGGGCGGCCCUCAAACGAGAGGGCACACCCACAGGCGCCAGGAGCCGGGCCGGGUGGGUGGACGUGCAGGAGGGCUAGCACUCCAAGCCAGGGGCCAGGUUUCAGGAAUUCUUGUCCCCUUUCUCCAUUUUCCCAGAGUUCUGCAAUGUGGUUAUACUAACUUUAUAAUUAAAGCUUUUACUAAUAGUGGA
Bubalus bubalis (water buffalo) is the source of this 4161-nucleotide long non-coding RNA. RefSeq lists it as uncharacterized. The record is from RefSeq and is a predicted model, not a curated record. The transcript has 2 exons. NCBI's taxonomy places the organism in Eukaryota, Metazoa, Chordata, Mammalia, Artiodactyla, Bovidae.